This 253-nucleotide ribosomal RNA is filed under the name uncultured bacterium. RNAcentral's name for it is "partial 16S ribosomal RNA". It matches the Rfam family "Bacterial small subunit ribosomal RNA", at positions 524 to 776 of the family's 1533-position model. The record is from RNAcentral.
CACGUAGGGCGCAAGCGUUGUCCGGAAUUAUUGGGCGUAAAGAGCUCGUAGGCGGUCUGUUACGUCUGCUGUGAAAACCCAGGGCUUAACCCUGGGCUUGCAGUGGAUACGGGCAGACUAGAGGCAGGUAGGGGAGAAUGGAAUUCCCGGUGUAGCGGUGAAAUGCGCAGAUAUCGGGAGGAACACCGGUGGCGAAGGCGGUUCUCUGGGCCUGACCUGACGCUGGGGAGCGAAAGCGUGGGGAGCAAACAGG